Long non-coding RNA from Cucumis sativus (cucumber), 971 nucleotides. RefSeq lists it as uncharacterized. The transcript is spliced from 4 exons. Lineage: Eukaryota; Viridiplantae; Streptophyta; Magnoliopsida; Cucurbitales; Cucurbitaceae. The record is from RefSeq and is a predicted model, not a curated record.
AUUUUCCCUCCUUUUUCCUAUUUUCUCUCACAUGCUGCCUCUCUUCCCUUAUCACACGCAACCUUCCGAUUUUUUUCACACUAAAAAGCCCCCUCUUAUUUUCUUCACGUCAGACGACCCUCCACCAAAUUUCUUUUCUCGCCCCCCUCUUCUCACCGAACGUGUCCCCCUUCCCUUCCGAUUUUCUUCUCACCGAAAAGCCCCCUUCCCCUUUGAUUUUCUUCACGUGGAAUGGCCCCCACCGAAUUUCUUCACCACUGGAGUUCUUCUCGAUCUCCCUUCUCCUCACUGGACACGCCCCCUUCUGAUUUUCUUCUCACCGAAAAGCCGCCCCCCUCUGAUUUUCUUCCCUUUUUCGUUCACUACUGAAUGUUAGAGGAUGAGAGUUUUUCUUUUUUGUUUUUUGAGUUCAAUGUAUUUGUUUUCUUUGAUUGAUUUCGUUGGUUUUUUAUUCAGGGUGGUGAGAGUUCAUCGAUGAUUUGGUUUCAUUCAAAGAAUUUGUUUUGAUUUGCAGAAUGAUUCUCUGCAAUAAAUAGAUGCGGGGAGGUGUUGAAGCACUUAACUCAGUUGAAUAGACUGAUACAAGAGUUUCUACUCACAGCUUGAAUUGGAUGAAGUAUGAGCGGAGUGGGCUAAAUUUUUAGCUUUGUACAUAUGAUAGACAUCCUUAGAUGUGAUCUUAUUAAUUUUGUGAAUGACUAAUAUAUGGGAAUGCCCAUAACUUUUUUUUUUUUUUUUUGUAAAUGUUUCGUUCAUAGCUAUUAUGCUUAUGUACAUGCAAUAGAUGUAAAGGGAUAGAUUUUAGUUUUGGUAUACCACACAUGUUUUUGGUUAUAUAAGAUAAUUAUUUUGUUGAUUUUGGAAUAGGCCACAUAUAGGAAAUUUUAGUUGACUAUAUUGGAUUGGAAUUGUGUAAUUGUUGACGAUGUUGUUGAGAGUAAUAAAAUUAUUGUUGGUUUACUUAUACUAAA